GUUGAACGCUGGCGGCAGGCCUAACACAUGCAGGUCGAGCGGAUGAGUGGAGCUUUGCUCCAUGAUUCAGCGGCGGACGGGUGAGUAAUGCCUAGGAAUCUGCCUGGUAGUGGGGGACAACGGUUUCGAAAGGAACGCUAAUACCGCAUACGUCCUACGGGAGAAAGUGGGGGGAUCUUCGGACCUCACGCUAUCAGAUGAGCCUAGGUCGGAUUAGCUAGUUGGUGAGGUAAAGGCUCACCAAGGCGACGAUCCGUAACUGGUCUGAGAGGAUGAUCAGUCACACUGGAACUGAGACACGGUCCAGACUCCUACGGGAGGCAGCAGUGGGGAAUAUUGGACAAUGGGCGAAAGCCUGAUCCAGCCAUGCCGCGUGUGUGAAGAAGGUCUUCGGAUUGUAAAGCACUUUAAGUUGGGAGGAAGGGCAGUAAGUUAAUACCUUGCUGUUUUGACGUUACCAACCGAAUAAGCACCGGCUAACUUCGUG
Molecule: ribosomal RNA, 487 nt
Filed under: uncultured bacterium
Lineage: Bacteria
Description: bacterial SSU rRNA
Rfam family: Bacterial small subunit ribosomal RNA
Source: RNAcentral